RNAcentral lists this ribosomal RNA (460 nucleotides) under uncultured bacterium. Its description in RNAcentral is "partial 16S ribosomal RNA". It matches the Rfam family "Bacterial small subunit ribosomal RNA", at positions 338 to 795 of the family's 1533-position model. The record is from RNAcentral.
CCUACGGGAGGCAGCAGUGAGGAAUAUUGGUCAAUGGACGAGAGUCUGAACCAGCCAAGUAGCGUGAAGGAUGACUGCCCUAUGGGUUGAAAACUUCUUUUAUAUGGGAAUAAAAUGUUCCACGUGUGGGAUUUUGUAUGUACCAUAUGAAUAAGGAUCGCAUAACUCAGUGCCAGCCGCCGCGGUAAUACGGUGGAUCCGAGCGUUAUCCGGAUUUAUUGGGUUUAAAGGGAGCGUAGGUGGAUUGUUAAGUCAGUUGUGAAAGUUUGCGGCUCAACCGUAAAAUUGCAGUUGAAACUGGCAGUCUUGAGUACAGUAGAGGUGGGCGGAAUUCGAGGUGUAGCGGUGAAAUGCUGAGAUAUCACGAAGAACUCCGAUUGCGAAGGCAGUUCACUGGACUGCAACUGACACUGAGGCUCGAAAGUGUGGGUAUCAAACAGGAUUAGAUACCCUAGUAGUC